GAUGAACGCUGGCGGCGUGCCUAAUACAUGCAAGUCGAGCGAACAGACGAGGAGCUUGCUCCUCUGACGUUAGCGGCGGACGGGUGAGUAACACGUGGAUAACCUACCUAUAAGACUGGGAUAACUUCGGGAAACCGGAGCUAAUACUGGAUAAUAUAUUGAACCGCAUGGUUCAAUAGUGGAAGACGGUUUUGCUGUCACUUAUAGAUGGAUCCGCGCCGCAUUAGCUAGUUGGUAAGGUAACGGCUUACCAAGGCAACGAUGCGUAGCCGACCUGAGAGGGUGAUCGGCCACACUGGAACUGAGACACGGUCCAGACUCCUACGGGAGGCAGCAGUAGGGAAUCUUCCGCAAUGGGCGAAAGCCUGACGGAGCAACGCCGCGUGAGUGAUGAAGGUCUUCGGAUCGUAAAACUCUGUUAUUAGGGAAGAACAAAUGUGUAAGUAACUAUGCACGUCUUGACGGUACCUAAUCAGAAAGCCACGGCUAACUACGUG
RNAcentral lists this ribosomal RNA (497 nucleotides) under uncultured bacterium. Its description in RNAcentral is "partial 16S ribosomal RNA". It matches the Rfam family "Bacterial small subunit ribosomal RNA", at positions 28 to 507 of the family's 1533-position model. The record is from RNAcentral.